This 253-nucleotide ribosomal RNA is filed under the name uncultured bacterium. RNAcentral describes it as "partial 16S ribosomal RNA". It matches the Rfam family "Bacterial small subunit ribosomal RNA", at positions 524 to 776 of the family's 1533-position model. The record is from RNAcentral.
GCCGGAGGAGGCAAUCGUUAUCCGGAAUUAUUGGGCGUAAAGGGUACGUAGGCGGCUGGUCAAGUCUGGGGUCAAAGGCCACAGCUCAACUGUGGGAAGGCCCUGGAAACUGACCGGCUAGAGUGAGGUAGGGGUUGCGGGAAUUCCCGGUGUAGCGGUGAAAUGCGUAGAGAUCGGGAAGAACACCUGAGGCGGAAGCGCGCAACUGGGCCUCAACUGACGCUGAGGUACGAAAGCUAGGGGAGAGAAUGGG